RNAcentral lists this ribosomal RNA (799 nucleotides) under uncultured bacterium. RNAcentral describes it as "bacterial SSU rRNA". It matches the Rfam family "Bacterial small subunit ribosomal RNA", at positions 57 to 864 of the family's 1533-position model. The record is from RNAcentral.
GCAGUCGAACGAUGAAAGCAGGAGCUUGCUUUUGCUGGAUUAGUGGCGAACGGGUGAGUAACACGUGAGUAACCUGCCCUUGACUCUGGGACAAGCGUUGGAAACGACGUCUAAUACCGGAUACGAGCUAGGACCGCAUGGUCAUUAGCUGGAAAGAAUUUCGGUCAAGGAUGGACUCGCGGCCUAUCAGCUAGUUGGUGAGGUAACGGCUCACCAAGGCGACGACGGGUAGCCGGCCUGAGAGGGUGACCGGCCACACUGGGACUGAGACACGGCCCAGACUCCUACGGGAGGCAGCAGUGGGGAAUAUUGCACAAUGGGCGCAAGCCUGAUGCAGCAACGCCGCGUGAGGGACGACGGCCUUCGGGUUGUAAACCUCUUUUAGCAGGGAAGAAGCGCAAGUGACGGUACCUGCAGAAAAAGCACCGGCUAACUACGUGCCAGCAGCCGCGGUAAUACGUAGGGUGCAAGCGUUGUCCGGAAUUAUUGGGCGUAAAGAGCUCGUAGGCGGUUUGUCGCGUCUGCUGUGAAAAUCCGAGGCUCAACCUCGGACCUGCAGUGGGUACGGGCAAACUAGAGUGCGGUAGGGGAGAUUGGAAUUCCUGGUGUAGCGGUGGAAUGCGCAGAUAUCAGGAGGAACACCAAUGGCGAAGGCAGAUCUCUGGGCCGUAACUGACGCUGAGGAGCGAAAGCGUGGGGAGCGAACAGGAUUAGAUACCCUGGUAGUCCACGCCGUAAACGGUGGGAACUAGAUGUGGGGUCCGUUCCACGGAUUCCGUGUCGCAGCUAACGCAUUAAG